UACGUAGGGAGCAAGCGUUGUCCGGAAUCAUUGGGCGUAAAGCGCGCGUAGGCGGCCCUGUAAGUCCGCUGUAAAAGUCAAAGGCUCAACCUUUGAAAGCCGGUGGAUACUGCAGGGCUAGAGUCCGGAAGAGGCGAGUGGAAUUCCUGGUGUAGCGGUGGAAUGCGCAGAUAUCAGGAGGAACACCGAUGGCGAAGGCAGCCCCCUGGGCUAACACUGACGCUCAGGCACGAAAGCGUGGGGAGCAAACAGG
This 253-nucleotide ribosomal RNA is filed under the name uncultured bacterium. RNAcentral's name for it is "partial 16S ribosomal RNA". It matches the Rfam family "Bacterial small subunit ribosomal RNA", at positions 524 to 776 of the family's 1533-position model. The record is from RNAcentral.